Molecule: ribosomal RNA, 459 nt
Filed under: uncultured bacterium
Lineage: Bacteria
Description: partial 16S ribosomal RNA
Rfam family: Bacterial small subunit ribosomal RNA
Source: RNAcentral
CCUACGGGAGGCAGCAGUGAGGAAUAUUGGUCAAUGGACGAGAGUCUGAACCAGCCAAGUAGCGUGAAGGAUGACUGCCCUAUGGGUUGAAAACUUCUUUUAUAUGGGAAUAAAAUGUUCCACGUGGGGGAUUUUGUAUGUACAAUAUGAAUAAGGAUCGGCUAACUCUGUGUCAGCAGCCGCGGUAAUACGGAGGGGCCGAGCGUUAUCCGGAUUGAUUGGGGGUAAAGGGUGCGCAGGCGGGAGAUCAAGUCAGCGGUAAAAUGUCGGGGCUAAACCCCGGCCGGCCGUUGAAACUGGUUUUCUAGAGUUGGCGAGAAGUAUGCGGAAUUCGUGGUGUAGCGGUGAAAUGCAUAGAUAUCACGAAGAACUCCGAUUGCGAAGGCAGCAUACCGGCUCCAUACUGACGCUGAGGCACGAAAGCGUGGGGAUCGAACAGGAUUAGAUACCCCGGUAGUC